AAGGACAAAAAAUUUGAAGGAUAUUAAUGUAGGAUUACUCCAGUGUAAUAAAAUUUUCGAUUGCUUACGUUAACGCAUAACUAGUGAAGAUAUCCGCGCAUUGCGGCGGAUCGAUUUCGUAGAAAAUAAAAAAAUAAAAGUCAAAGAGUAAAAAAAAUACAAAUAAAAAAAACUUAAGAAGAAACAACGAUAGCUACAAUAAAAACAUAAGUAUAAAAGUACAAGAAGAAUCAAAAAAGAAUAAAAAAAAAUUUAAUUAUAAUAAUAAUAAAUUUUUAUUUAUAAUAGUACGUAGUAAAAGUUGAGAAUUAAAAUAUUAUAUGCCUUAUAGUUGAAGUCAGAAAUUACAAUUAAUUAAAGUUUGAGGAUUAAACCAUCACGUGCCUCAUAAUUUGAGCAAGAAAAUAUAACACAUUAAAAGAUAAUGACUAAAAUGUCACACGUCUUAUAGUUUAGAAUCAAAAGUAUAAUUUAUCUUUCUUAUAUUUUAAUUCUAUUUCAGACGAACGCAAAGUUCUAUACGAUAUGUUAAACUAUCUAAUAAAUUUUUGAAUGUCUAAUUGUUAAAAUUAAAAGUCGAUCAAUUAUUUUUUAGAUAUUUCAAAAGAUUUUAAAUGUAAAAUUGAUCGUUCAUCAAACUAUAAAUAUGGCAUUGAAGUUUGAUAUGAAAAUCAAAGUAAAAAUAUAUAGAACUUUUUAGAACUAUAAACCAUUUUAAAUUAUGUAGUGACCUUGGAAUUCAGCAUUUGAGAUUUGUCGACAGCUCUGGAGAGUGUCGGGACGAGUUCGAGUCCUGUUGGCGUGAAAUAGGCGCAAACUGGACUCAGCGGGACGCGAGAGCAAAGAGUUAGCAUUGCAAUCUGCAAAUUACAGAUUUUCA
Molecule: long non-coding RNA, 880 nt
Filed under: Ananas comosus (pineapple)
Lineage: Eukaryota; Viridiplantae; Streptophyta; Magnoliopsida; Poales; Bromeliaceae
Description: long non-coding RNA (ACOM_LNC017096)
Source: RNAcentral